AUGGGUGCCUCCUUCCAGCCCCCCCUGCAGAGCCGGUCUGCCCUCCCUGGGGACGGGCCCCUCCCGCCAACUCCCUGCAGAGCCGGUCUGCCCUCCUCGUGGACGGGCCCCUCCCGCCAGCCCCCCGCAGAGCCAGUCUGCCCUCCCCGGGGACGGGCCCCUCCCUCCAGCCCCCCGCAGAGCUGGUCUGCCCUCCCCGGGGAUGGGUGCUUCCUUCCAGCCCCCCCCGCAGAGCCGGCCUGCCCUCCCUGGGGACGGGCCCCUCCCACCAGCCCCCCGCAAAGCCGGCCUGCCCUCCCCGGGGACGGGCCCCUCCCGCCAGCUCCCCACAGAGCCGAUCUGCCCUCCCCAGGGAUGGGUGCCUCCUUUCAGCCCCCCGCAUGGCUGGCCUGCCCUCCCCAGGGACAGGAUCCUCCUGCCAACCCUGUCAGAGCCGGCCUGCCCUCCCCAGGAAUGGGCCCCUCCCACCAGCCCCCGUCUUGCCACAGUGCCCGCCGACCCUCUCCAGGGACGGGUCCCUCCUGGCAGCCCCCCACAGAGCCAGCCUGCCCUGUCCAGGGUCAGGCUCUUUCCUCUAGUUCCCCGCAGAGCCCGCCUGCCCUCUCCAGGGAUGGGCCCCUCCCACCAGCUCCCCGCAGAGCCGGCCUGCCCUCCCCAGGAAUGGGCCACUCCCGGCAGUCCCCCGCAGAGGCAGACUGCCCUCCCCAGGGGCAACCCUUCCUUCCCUCCUGCCCUCUCCAGGGACGGGCCCCUCCCAGCAGCCCCCCACAGAGCCAGCCUGAUCUCCCCAGGGAUGGGCCCCUCCCACCAGCUCCCCGCAGAGCCCACCUGCCCUCCCAAGGGACAGGCCCCUCCACCCAGCCCCCUGUCCCACCACAGUGCCCAUCUCCCCUCCCCAGGGAUGGGCCCUUCCCGGCAGCCCCCCGCAGACAGUCUGCCCUCCCCAUGAAUGGGCUCCUCCCUCCAGCCCCCCGCAGAGCCGGUCUGCCUUCCCCAGGGACGGGCCCCUCCCGCCAGCCCCCCGCAGAGCCGGUCUGCCCUCCCGAGGGAUGGGCUCCUCCCGCCAGCCCCUCACAGAGGAUCUAG
RNAcentral lists this long non-coding RNA (1086 nucleotides) under Chelonoidis abingdonii (Abingdon island giant tortoise). RNAcentral's name for it is "lncRNA (ENSCABG00000008468.1)". The record is from RNAcentral. Lineage: Eukaryota; Metazoa; Chordata; Testudines; Testudinidae.